Molecule: ribosomal RNA, 672 nt
Filed under: Shewanella sp. MR06-74
Lineage: Bacteria; Pseudomonadati; Pseudomonadota; Gammaproteobacteria; Alteromonadales; Shewanellaceae
Description: bacterial SSU rRNA
Rfam family: Bacterial small subunit ribosomal RNA
Source: RNAcentral
CGAUACGUAUGCUCUCUGAUGCAGUCGAGCGGUAACACAAGGGAGCUUGCUCCUGAGGUGACGAGCGGCGGACGGGUGAGUAAUGCCUAGGUAUCUGCCCAGUCGAGGGGGAUAACAGUUGGAAACGACUGCUAAUACCGCAUACGCCCUACGGGGGAAAGGAGGGGACCUUCGGGCCUUCCGCGAUUGGAUGAACCUAGGUGGGAUUAGCUAGUUGGUGAGGUAAUGGCUCACCAAGGCGACGAUCCCUAGCUGGUCUGAGAGGAUGAUCAGCCACACUGGAACUGAGACACGGUCCAGACUCCUACGGGAGGCAGCAGUGGGGAAUAUUGCACAAUGGGCGAAAGCCUGAUGCAGCCAUGCCGCGUGUGUGAAGAAGGCCUUCGGGUUGUAAAGCACUUUCAGCGAGGAGGAAAGGUUAGUGAUUAAUACUCACUAGCUGUGACGUUACUCGCAGAAGAAGCACCGGCUAACUUCGUGCCAGCAGCCGCGGUAAUACGAGGGGUGCAAGCGUUAAUCGGAAUUACUGGGCGUAAAGCGUACGCAGGCGGUUUGUUAAGCGAGAUGUGAAAGCCCCGGGCUCAACCUGGGAACUGCAUUUCGAACUGGCAAACUAGAGUCUUGUAGAGGGGGGGUAGAAUUUCAGGUGUAGCGGUGAAAUGCGUAGAGAUC